GGAUCAUUCUGGGCUUAGCAAAGAAUGACCUUUGUCCUGGAAAACCCCUGAAACCCAGGAAAACCAGGACAUCUGGUUACUCCACAGUCUCACCUGAGGUGUUCUGACCUCACAGAGCAGCCCGGUGACCACAGUGGUAGGGUUAAGUGAGGUCUCUAUUAGGGGCAGGCUUUUGCACAUUUACUUGGGGUUCCUGUAAAUUUCAUCCCUUGACCAAAUAAUGCUUCUGUUGCCAACAGACACAACCACAGGAAUCCUGGGAGUCACCCUGGCUGUGUCUGGAUGUCACAAAAAAUGUGAAGAGCAAAAUCCAGGCAGUUUCAUGAUGUGGUGAUGAUCAAACCCUGUCCCCCAGGGGUGUGAAAAACAGACACCUCUUUAAUAGAAUUUAGUUUUCUUAACUCAGACUUUUUUUGGGCUGAAUUUAUGCUAGCCUGUUUAGUCAUGUCUUCAAGCAACCACUUGUUACAAAGGGUUAAAGUUUUAGCUUGCUUACUAUCAUGAAAAGGGUGAGAGAAAAAGGCUAUUAUUUAGCUAAGAAGACGUAUCCAUUUUUUUUAAGGACAGCAGUCAGGGAUUCAAACGACCCUUCCCAUCUCUUCACUAUUUCACAGUAUUCACUGUCUAAAGGGCUUCCCACCCUCUCUUCAGCCUCCGCAGGACAUAAGCAAAACCAGAUGCCUGCCCUCAGCUGAGGUCCUCAAACAGACAGGCACCCAAAGUGUUGCUGUGGCAAUAAUCUCUGUGUUCCACUUACUGCAGGAAAACAGAAUUUAAUCAUGGGUUCCUUGGACUCCAGCCUUGCCAUAUAGUUCCUGCAGCUAGAAUCCACUGCAUGGAAAAUCUGGCAUACGAUUACUGUCCAGAGCUCUGGAAGAAUGCUAGCCUUGCACAGAUAUUUUCUUUGCCUGGUUAGGCUGUCAAACACCCUGACCUCGUCAAUGUUUUAAAAGGUAGGAGUUGUUACAGUUCUCAGUCCCCUAAGAGGCUGACCAAGUGCUGAGAGGGGCUCCCAGCUUCUCUGCAUUCUGGAAAACCCACCGCAGAGCCCCGCCCUAGUGUGCUUCCGGAGCUUCUAAUGCACUUCUCUAUUACUUCAAGAACACUGUGUAUAAUAAUAAACUCUACAGAAAUAAACCAAAUCACAAGAAGCUUUCAGGUCUGGAGGCUGACAUUUCUCAAGACAGAUGCAAAAACCCAGGCCCAGAGAGAUGAAGAAACCUGGCUAAGGUAACAUGGUCUUUUCCACCCAGGUUGGAGUGAAGUGGCCCAAUAUCAACUCAUUGCAACCUCUGCCUCCUGGCUCAGACUCUCCUCCAGCCUCAGUCUUCCGAGUAGCUGGGACCACAGGUGCACACCACCACACCUGGCUAAUUUUCUGUAUAAAAAUAAAUAAUUUUUCUAAUGCUUUAUCCUGAAUCUGAAUUUGGGCUUCAGCUGUGAGGUUCACAGCAGCAGAGCUACUGCCAGAUCAACUGGUUAUAUCUGGUUGAGAGGGGGCGAUUGCUAGUCAGGAAGUUUCUGCUGAUCACGGCUUUGUAAAUGGACCAAAGUUGAUCAUGGUUUUCCUAGAAAAUCAACUAUUCAGAGAAACCCCCCAUCACUACCAUCAUCAUUCUCCCCGUUUCCUCUGCUGAGAAGCUCAACUAAAAGACUGAUUCUGUUUCAGUCACUCAGGGCAGGAAACUUAUUCCUAAGAAUCUGGUUCCUUAUGUUUUUGGCUUUAGUUCUAGACAAUUGAAAGGAUUAGACAUUUUUCAAAGGGCUUUCUUGGAACCUGCUUUCAACCUGCUUGAGAAAACUUCCCCUGUUUGGUUUCCUUGCAUAGCUGAAGCCACUUGAUAACAGAAAGUGAUAACUCUAGCAUUAACGGUUGGAAACCACAUGCAUUGCUCACUCACCUCCCUUCAUAAGUGCAACACUUCUUGCUCACUAUCUUGACUUUGGUUUGAGACAUACUCUGGCUGACUUUCAAGGGAGUUACAAGUUACAAAAGAAACUUGUCCAUAAAAUAAACACCCUAUCUCCUUGUUUAUUUAAGAGUAUCUCUUAAUCCUGGUCUGAUUUAGUUGGAUAAUUAAGGCUUGCUAGAAUUUUAAAAGCUAAAUUCAUCAGGCAGUUGUCAAAUCAUCACUUUGGGCUGGGGAGAUUGGGUUUGAGUAAUUUGAAUAAUACAAUAUAACUGAAAAGACAGAUGUCUGAAGAAGGUCAUGCACUUAUGAUAUUGUGCUCUGACUCUGUUAGUCAGCAUUUCAGAUAGAGCAUAAUACAUUGAUUUGAUAAAACAUUUUUCUGAAUCCCUCUUUCUACAUUAAUGUUUAUAUUUUCAAAACGAUUGUUUGAAAGAAAGUGUCUUAUAGAAUCCAUUGUUUGGCAUCUUGGUAACCAAAGAAAUGGGUGUCUGACUGAAUUAAACCUUUUUAAAAACUGGAGUGCACUCAAUAUAGUUGCCAUAUGCAUCCUAGUCUAUUUUGUAUUUGACUUAAACCCAGACGUGAAGCUGUAUGAAAUUGUAGUCCAGAAUUUAGAUUAAAGAUUUAAUCGUUUAUCUUUGAAGAACUUGUAGUCUUUUUUUCUUAGUCCACAAAUAUAAUUACAUUGCAACAUGUGUUUCAAGUGUUAUUUCUUUGGAAAAUUGCUUUAUUGUCAGACUUUCUCUUUUUAUGAACACCAAUACAUUGCUAAGUUUAUGUGCUGGUAAACAAUACCAAAAAAGUGUGUACCAUUCCUGAACAGUCUUUCUUAAUUUAUAAACUUAGAAGUCACCUAUGUUUUAGAUUCUC
Molecule: long non-coding RNA, 2783 nt
Filed under: Homo sapiens (human)
Lineage: Eukaryota; Metazoa; Chordata; Mammalia; Primates; Hominidae
Description: HSALNT0375631
Source: RNAcentral